GAAGUGGGCCAGACGGUCGCCGGCCGGCGCGAGCCGGCUGGAGGAAGGUCCGGACUCCGCAGGGCAGGGUGCUGGCUAACGGCCAGGCGCAGCAAGCCGCAAGGCCCAAGGCGACGGAAAGUGGAACAGAAAGCACACCGCCGAAGCAUCCUUGGGCAUGCCCGCGAGGGCGUCCCCGGGGCGCUGGCAAGGGUGAAAUGGUGAGGUAAGAGCUCACCGCGUCCGUGGCGACACGGGCGGCAUGCCAAACCCCACCCGGAGCAACACCAAAUAGGCACGCGCGCGGCUUCGGCCGCACAGGGCGGCCCGCCCGAGCGUGCGGGUAGGUGGCAAGAGCGCGCCAGCAAUGGCGCGCCCAGACUAAUGACCGUCACGCCGGGCGACCGUCGCACAGAAUCCGGCCUAUCGGCCCGAUUCCCCU
This 421-nucleotide RNase P RNA is filed under the name Burkholderiales bacterium. RNAcentral's name for it is "RNase P RNA component class A". It matches the Rfam family "Bacterial RNase P class A". From Rfam's summary of the family: Ribonuclease P (RNase P) is a ubiquitous endoribonuclease, found in archaea, bacteria and eukarya as well as chloroplasts and mitochondria. The record is from RNAcentral. Lineage: Bacteria; Pseudomonadati; Pseudomonadota; Betaproteobacteria; Burkholderiales.